UGUGUUCUUGUCUCUCGCCUGUCCGGUGAGGAUGAAGAUGUAGUUUCAGUGUUUAAUGCUCAUCCCCUCACUGUGUGUCUGUGUGUUCUUGUCUCUUGACAGGUCUGUGAGGAUGAGAAGGUCUCCACAGUCUGGAGUCUGAUCUCUGACAGCCUCAACAUACCUGUCAAUCAACAGGGACUCCUCUACAAAGGCAAGGCGCUGGCAGGUGAUGAAGUGACACUUUGAAUAUGGGGCCUGAUGAGAGAAGUAUCCUUUUCAUGUGGUUUUGGUUUUGCCGUUGUGAGCAGGUAUGGGAGACAGCACCGUGUCUGCAUGUGAAAUAACAAAGUCAUCGCAGUGGAGGGACUCUCUGAAGGCUGCUGUUUGUGGAUUUGUCUUGUAAUAUUCCUGGAGUGUGUGGCUGUGUGCCUGAGUGACAUCCAGAACUUAAGAGAAGUCGUUUCAAUUCUGGUUCUUUCUUGAGGAGAGGUGCCUUGUAGUGGUCAAAGAAGUCCCCUGGGUCGACAUUGUCUACCUUUUAGGAUUUUGAAUGUUUGAAUCAGAUCGCCCUGUAGUCGUCUUUGUUCAAGACUGAAUAGAUUCAAUUCUUUUAGCCUGUCUGCAUAUGACAUGCCUUUUAAACCCGAGAUAAUUCUGGUUGCUCUUCUUUGCACUCUUUCUAGAGCAGCAAUAUCCUUUUUGUAACAAGGUGACCAGAACUGAACACAAUAUUCUAGGUGAGGUCUUACUAAUUCAUUGUAAAAUUAACAUUACUUCCCUUGAUUUACAUUCAACACUCCUCACAAUAUAUCCAAGCAUCUUGUUGGCAUUUUUUUUAUAGCUUCCCCACAUUGUCUAGAGGAAGACAUUUCUGAGUCAACAUAAACUCCUAGGUCUUUUUCAUAGUUCCCUUCUUCAAUUUCAGUAUCUCCCAUAUGAUAUUUGUAAUGCACGUUUUUAUUGCCUGCAUGCAAUACUUUACACUUUUCUCUAUUAAAUUUCAUUUGUCAUGUGUCUGCCCAGGUCUGAAUGCUGUCUAGAUCAUUUUGAAUGACCUUUGCUGCUGCAACAGUGUUUGCCACUCCUAUUUUUGUGUCGUCUGCAGAUUUAACAAGUUUGCUUACUAUACCAGAAUCUAAAUAAUUAAUGUAGAUUAGGAAUAGCAGAGGACCCAAUACUGAUCCCUGUGGUACACCACUGGUUACCUUGCUCCAUUUUGAGGUUUCUCCUCUAAGCAGUACUUUCUGUUUUCUACAUGUUUACCACUCCCUAAUCCAUGUGCAUGCAUUUGCAUCCAUGUGCAUCCCCUGGUCAGCUGUCCAGCUCACUGCUGCAGAAGUUUGUUUGGGGCUGGGACAAUGGACUUGUGUGUUUUAGCCAUUUGUUAAUCUUUGAAGAGGACCUGCAAGUUUGUCUUGCAGUCUUCCCUGCAAUAAUGAUGGACUUUAUUUAUUUGAGAAUCUGUGUUGGAAAAUGUACUUUUUGACGGUGAAGUUGUGUUUAAAAAAACAAGUAAAGGAAAUGUACAUGAUCUCUAACUCGCUAUUUGACAAAUAACAAUUAAAAAAUGAAAGCAUGUGUGAUGCCUAUUUCCCUGCAAGCCCUUUUCUUUGCCCACUGGAGCACACAGCCUCUUAUGGGGGUUUGGAACCGCAAAUCACUGCAUCUUAAACACACAGCUCUAGAGUCCGUAACUACAGCAUGUACUGUACCGUUUAUUGUGUGUGUUUUAAUGAAGUCUGCUGCUGUACUUGUCUGGCUGUGAGCUUUUGCGUUACCAACAAACAAGGAAUUAAACAAAACAAAAGCAGCUCCGUUCUCAGCCUGGCGUGAGAUUGAUUUUUUUUUUUUUUAUCUACAAUGGGAAGUGCUUUAGACUGAACAACCUCAAGCUCCCUUCAUCUUGUCACAGCUCUGCACUGUGAUAUAAAGUCUAUUUCCUGUUCAUUGUCAUUAUUUUUUGUGUUUUAUUUAUUGUGAUUAUUAUUAGGAUUUUAAGAAUGUAUCGGAAAUGUCUUUGUUUUUGCACAGUGGUAAGGUUAGUCCGAGUCUUUACAAUGGGCAACUGAGCUGUGUUAAGAUAAAACUUUUUUUUUUUAAAUUAAAGAAAAUUAUCUUUAUUAAAAUCAACAGUUCUACUAAAUGGCCACACGAUGGCAGCAUUGAAUAAGGAAUAGCAAGAGCUUCGUUCUGCCUGUCUUCAUAAAGUGCACUGCCUGCUUUGCCCAUUGUUGUAACCUGCUUGACAAAGCCACGCUGAAUUAAUCAGCUCGCUGGGGGUGGGGGUGUGUCUAUUUAUUAUUAUUUUCUUAGCAUGUGCCCUUAUCCAGCGCGACUUACAAUUGUUAUAAGAUAUCACAUUAUUUUUUACAUACAAUUCCCCAUUUAUAUAGUUGAGUUUUUUCUGGAGCAAUCUAGGUAAAGUACCUUGCUCAAGGGUACAGCAGCAGUGUCCCCCCCCCCACCUAGGAUUGAACCCACAACCUUCCGGUCAAGAGUCCAGAGCCCUAACCACUACUCCACACUACUGCCCGUAUUUGUUUGACUCUGUCAAAGAUACAAUAGAAGUGACUCUUUUAUUUUAGCCAUUUUCAAGGCAGUAAUCACCUCCAUGUUGUACAAAUCAUUAGUCCAGUUCAAGUCACAAAUGAGUGUAGUGGUACAGCUGGUAGGAUGGCUCAGUUGGUAGAGCACAGGGCCCUGAUUCCCAGGGUUGGUGGUCCAAACCCCAUUCACAAUGCCUGCUUUUCUGGUUUUUUUUUUUUUCCAAGUUGGUUA
This is a long non-coding RNA of Acipenser ruthenus (sterlet), 2760 nucleotides long. RefSeq lists it as uncharacterized. The record is from RefSeq and is a predicted model, not a curated record. Lineage: Eukaryota; Metazoa; Chordata; Actinopteri; Acipenseriformes; Acipenseridae. The transcript has 4 exons.